CUACACAAGAGUCUGGUCUGGAUACUGUGAGUACCACGCGCUAGCUUUACUGACCCUGGACUAGACAAGAGUCUGGUCUGGAUAUUGUGAGUACCACACGCUAGGUUUACUGAUCCGGAACUACACAAGAGUCUGGUCUGGAUACUGUGAGUACCACACGCUAGCUUUACUGAUCCUGGACUAGACAAGAGUGUGGUCUGGAUACUGUGAGUACCACGCGCACUAGCUUUACUGAUCCUGGACUAGACAAGAGUCUGGUCUGGAUACUGUGAGUACCACACGCUAGCUUUACUGAUCCGGAACUACACAAGAGUCUGGUCUGGAUACUGUGAGUACCACGCGCUAGCUUUACUGAUCCUGGACUAGACAAGAGUCUGGUCUGGAUACUGUGAGUACCACGCGCUAGCUUUACUGAUCCUGGACUAGACAAGAGUCUGGUCUGGAUACUGUGAGUACCACACGCUAGCUUUACUGACCCUGGACUAGACUAGAGUCUGGUCUGGAUACUGUGAGUACCACACGCUAGUAAUUACACUAGCUUUACUGAUCCGGAACUACACAAGAGUCUGGUCUGGAUACUGUGAGUACCACGCGCUAGCUUUACUGAUCCUGGACUAGACUAGAGUCUGGUCUGGAUACUGUGAGUACCACGAGCUAGGUUUACUGACCCUGGACUAGACAAGAGUCUGGUCUGGAUACUGUGAGUACCACACGCUAGCUUUACUGACCCUGGACUAGACUAGAGUCUGGUCUGGAUACUGUGAGUACCACGAGCUAGGUUUACUGAUCCUGGACUAGACAAGAGUCUGGUCUGGAUAAUGUGAGUACCACACGCUAGGUUUACUGAUCCGGAACUACACAAGAGUCUGGUCUGGAUACUGUGAGUACCACGCACUAGCUUUACUGACCCUGGACUAGACUAGAGUCUGGUCUGGAUACUGUGAGUACCACACACUAGUAAUUACACUAGCUUUACUGACCCUGGACUACACAAGAGUCUGGUCUGGAUACUGUGAGUACCACACACUAGCUUUACUGACCCUGGACUAGACAAGAGUCUGGUCUGGAUACUGUGAGUACCACACACUAGUAAUUACACUAGCUUUACUGAUCCUGGACUAGACAAGAGUCUGGUCUGGAUACUGUGAGUACCACACGCUAGUUUUACUGACCCUGGACUAGACAAGAGUCUGGUCUGGAUACUGUGAGUACCACACACUUGUUUUACUGACCCUGGACUAGACGAGUCUGGUCUGGAUACUGUGAGUACCACACACUUGUUUUACUGACCCUGGACUAGACGAG
RNAcentral lists this long non-coding RNA (1305 nucleotides) under Salmo salar (Atlantic salmon). Its description in RNAcentral is "lncRNA (ENSSSAG00000103512.1)". The record is from RNAcentral. Lineage: Eukaryota; Metazoa; Chordata; Actinopteri; Salmoniformes; Salmonidae.